CUCCUGUACCAUGGAAAUCCUAUGUUGUUAUGAAUGCUUACAUCAAUUCAUUUCAACAAUAAAUUCAAGAAGAUACAUUUGUUGUUUCUGUAAAGGGGCUUCUUGCAGGAACUUCAAGGAAAGACAUGAAAGAGAAGAUAAAGGAACAAUAAUGUUCCAAAUUCCUGCUAUGCAGUGGGAAUGACUAAGCACCUAGAAGUCUGGUGACAAUCAGGACAUAAGAAGCUAUAUUUUGCAACCCAAGAGCUGAAGAGCAACCUUGACAGGGAAGAGGCAUGAGCUCUGUCCCUCAUGUCCUGCACCAGAGAGCCUUUCAGCUUGGUCCCAGGAGAGCUGAACAUGGUCACCAAGUAGACUUACAAGGGCCUGGCAGCAUUGUCCUUGAUAGAGCUCAGAACUGGAAGCCUUGGGAGUGGGAAGGCCCCUGACCAGGAGGCUAUACCUGAUGGUUUCAGAGGCACUUAAGGGAAUUUGCAGGUAAG
This 482-nucleotide long non-coding RNA is filed under the name Fukomys damarensis (Damara mole-rat). Its description in RNAcentral is "lncRNA (ENSFDAG00000032090.1)". Lineage: Eukaryota; Metazoa; Chordata; Mammalia; Rodentia; Bathyergidae. The record is from RNAcentral.